RNAcentral lists this transfer RNA (72 nucleotides) under Sphaerodactylus townsendi. RNAcentral describes it as "tRNA-Ala". It matches the Rfam family "tRNA". From Rfam's summary of the family: Transfer RNA (tRNA) molecules are approximately 80 nucleotides in length. Their secondary structure includes four short double-helical elements and three loops (D, anti-codon, and T loops). Lineage: Eukaryota; Metazoa; Chordata; Lepidosauria; Squamata; Sphaerodactylidae. The record is from RNAcentral.
AGUGUUGUGGCUCAGCAUUACAGCAUCUGUCUUGCAUUCUGAAAGUCCCAGGAUCAAUCCCUGGUAUCUUUA